GUCCCCGUAGCUCAAGUGGAUAGAGCGUCACCCUCCGGAGGUGAAAGUCCGCGUUCGAGUCGCGGCGGGGACA
This 73-nucleotide transfer RNA is filed under the name Chloroflexota bacterium. Its description in RNAcentral is "Chloroflexi bacterium (sediment metagenome) tRNA-Arg". It matches the Rfam family "tRNA". From Rfam's summary of the family: Transfer RNA (tRNA) molecules are approximately 80 nucleotides in length. Their secondary structure includes four short double-helical elements and three loops (D, anti-codon, and T loops). Further hydrogen bonds mediate the characteristic L-shaped molecular structure. tRNAs have two regions of fundamental functional importance: the anti-codon, which is responsible for specific mRNA codon recognition, and the 3' end, to which the tRNAs corresponding amino acid is attached (by aminoacyl-tRNA synthetases). tRNAs cope with the degeneracy of the genetic code in two manners: having more than one tRNA (with a specific anti-codon) for a particular amino acid; and 'wobble' base-pairing, i.e. permitting non-standard base-pairing at the 3rd anti-codon position. Lineage: Bacteria; Bacillati; Chloroflexota. The record is from RNAcentral.